Molecule: ribosomal RNA, 478 nt
Filed under: uncultured bacterium
Lineage: Bacteria
Description: partial 16S ribosomal RNA
Rfam family: Bacterial small subunit ribosomal RNA
Source: RNAcentral
GACGAACGCUGGCGGCGUGCUUAACACAUGCAAGUCGAACGGUAAGGCCCUUCGGGGUACACGAGUGGCGAACGGGUGAGUAACACGUGGGUGAUCUGCCCUGCACUUCGGGAUAAGCCUGGGAAACUGGGUCUAAUACCGGAUAGGACCACUGCCUGCAUGGGUGGUGGUGGAAAGCUUUUGCGGUGUGGGAUGGGCCCGCGGCCUAUCCGCUUGUUGGUGGGGUGAUGGCCUACCAAGGCGACGACGGGUAGCCGGCCUGAGAGGGUGACCGACCACACUGGGACUGAGAUACGGCCCAGACUCCUACGGGAGGCAGCAGUGGGGAAUAUUGCACAAUGGGCGCAAGCCUGAUGCAGCGACGCCGCGUGAGGGAUGACGGCCUUCGGGUUGUAAACCUCUUUCAGCACCGACGAAGCGCAAGUGACGGUAGGUGCAGAAGAAGGACUGGCCAACUACGUGCCAGCCGCCGCGGUAA